Molecule: ribosomal RNA, 446 nt
Filed under: uncultured bacterium
Lineage: Bacteria
Description: bacterial SSU rRNA
Rfam family: Bacterial small subunit ribosomal RNA
Source: RNAcentral
ACGAACGCUGGCGGCGUGGAUAAGGCAUGCAAGUCAAGGGGCCCGCAAGGGCACCGGCGAACGGGGUAGUAACACGUAGAUACCUCCCCUAAAGACGGGGAUAACUCCGCGAAAGCGGGGCUAAUACCCGAUGGUCCCUAGGCGCAAGCCGAUGGGUAAAGGAGUAAUCCACUUUAGGAAGGGUCUGCGGGCUAUCAGCUAGUUGGUAGGGUAAUGGCCUACCAAGGCGAUGACGGCUAGGGGGAGUGAGAGCUCGUUCCCCACCAAUGGCACUGAGACACGGGCCAUACACCUACGGGUGGCAGCAGUCAAGAACCUUCCACAAUGGGCGAAAGCCUGAUGGAGCGACGCCGCGUGCAGGAUGAAGUCCUUCGGGAUGUAAACUGCUUUUGUUUUCGAGGAACGCAAGUGACUGUAGAAGACGAAUAAGGGGUUGCUAAACUCGU